CUGGAAUGAAUGAUGCUAGAAUCAAGGCAUAGGCGGGCUUGCCCUGGUGGAAGGGGAAGAAACGCAGCCCACAGCUUGAUAGAGCAUCAAUUUGCUGGCAUUUCUUCAGCACCAUUAGUGAUAAAUCUUACACAAAGAACAAUGAAAUUACCUUUCAUUGUCUCGUUUCACUUUGCAAUUUGAUUCUUGAUCAAGGUUGCUACAUGGUGGCCGGCCCACGAGGAGCCAGCUUCAGUGCAGCAGAAAGCAUGCAUGUGGCCCUCUCUUUCGAUUGAUAA
RNAcentral lists this long non-coding RNA (278 nucleotides) under Musa acuminata (dwarf banana). RNAcentral describes it as "long non-coding RNA (MACU_LNC003079)". Lineage: Eukaryota; Viridiplantae; Streptophyta; Magnoliopsida; Zingiberales; Musaceae. The record is from RNAcentral.